UAUCUCUGUAGAGUCUGCAUAUCAAUAAGCGGAGGAAAAGAAACUAACUAGGAUUCCCUCAGUAACGGCGAGUGAAGCGGGAAGAGCUCAAAUUUGAAAUCUUCAAGGUUCUACCUUGACGAAUUGUAGUUUAAAGAAGUGUUUUCUGUUGGUAGUUUUGGUAAAAGUUCUUUGGAAUAGGACAUCAUAGAGGGUGAGAAUCCCGUAUUUGACCAUUACUUUCCAGCUUUGUGAUACACUUUCAAAGAGUCGGAUUGUUUGGGAAUGCAGUCCAAAAUGGGUGGUAAAUUUCAUCUAAAGCUAAAUAUUGGCGAGAGACCGAUAGCGAACAAGUACCGUGAGGGAAAGAUGAAAAGAACUUUGAAAAGAGAGUUAAACAGUACGUGAAAUUGUCAAAAGGGAAGCGUUUGACACCAGUGUUGUUUUCUCGAAAAUCAAUUAAAAAAGGCAGGAUUUUGUGUUGUAUUGACUUUAUCAGCUUUCUGCACUCUUUUCUUGAUCUUUUUUAAUGCACUUUUCGUUUAACAAGUCAACAUCAAUUUCUUUUGUUGUAAAAGGGUCAUUGGAAGGUGGCUUUCUUUUCGGAGAAAGUGUUUAUAGCCUUUGGCCUCUGCAAUCGGAGAGAUUGAGGUCUGCAGCGUAGAUCCUUCGGGGUUAGAUACAUUUGUGCUAAGUUAUAGCCUUUCAUAGACAACUUGUUGACUAUGAUCAGUCAUGUAGCUUACUCGCUUAUGCUAUUUUACCUACGCUUAGGAUGUUGACGAUCAGCUGAGCGCG
This 777-nucleotide ribosomal RNA is filed under the name uncultured Neocallimastigales. Its description in RNAcentral is "partial large subunit ribosomal RNA". It matches the Rfam family "Eukaryotic large subunit ribosomal RNA", at positions 24 to 627 of the family's 3401-position model. The record is from RNAcentral. Lineage: Eukaryota; Fungi; Neocallimastigomycota; Neocallimastigomycetes; Neocallimastigales.